GCAUGCGCGAAACUGACGUCACUUCCUGUUAUCGCCGACGUUUUACGACAGUCUUCUCGACCUGGGACCAGCUCGGAAUCUGGCAGGGGUGCAUUUCUCGGCAUUACACCUGUUCCGGGCGUCUUCGAAUUUUAUCAUCAAAGGCGACAGACUCUUCUACACCGGCCCAAUUAAACAGUACAUGCGGCUAGUUGUCCUGUCCGAGGAAGACAACCUGAUGGUUUUGGAGAUAAGACUUACAGAACCAUAUUUAGGUUUAGACUUAAGAUAAUUUACUGGCCUUGUUCCAGGCAUGUUAUUUGGUUACAGUUUCCAAAAGGAGCCUCGUUCUCAGGCUUCAAGUUUGUAUAGAGCCUCGUUCACAGGCUUCAAGUUCAUCAAAGAGCCUAGUUCUCAGGCUGCACACCUGAUAAUUUAAUUGCACGUUAUGUAAUUUUGUGUUCUCUUUGGAAUCCCAGACACAUUGCAAGCUUCAUUGACCCAGGAUCCUGGACUGAAAAAACAGGAAGAGACCUUGAGUUUUUUCCUCAACAGUCCAGUGGGGAUUCUUGUGGUGUCUACAUGCUGAUGUAUGCUCUCAGCAUCUGCACAUCAUGUCCCUUAACAUUCACAGAGGUAAGCUGGAUUUUCACACAAGUAUGUCAUUGAACUACUGGUAUGUGUGCAUUUUUUUUGUGUGUUUGUGUGUUUUAGGAGGAGGUGCCAUUGAUUCGCCAGUGGUGGUGCAUUAACCUCAUGGAAAGAUUUUGCCUAGAAGGGCAUGGACAGAGGUUUGCAUACUGGACCGAAGAAGCAUCCCAACUCCUUCAGGGGAUCGUUGAGCCUGUGUUUAGGGUGUCGAAAUUCACCACCACCAAACUGUCACCCAGCAGAAGAGUUGUGGAUGACAAGGACAUUGAUAAGGUUAAUGAUUAUACA
Long non-coding RNA from Triplophysa rosa, 918 nucleotides. RefSeq lists it as uncharacterized. The record is from RefSeq and is a predicted model, not a curated record. NCBI's taxonomy places the organism in Eukaryota, Metazoa, Chordata, Actinopteri, Cypriniformes, Nemacheilidae. The transcript is spliced from 5 exons.